RNAcentral lists this ribosomal RNA (497 nucleotides) under uncultured bacterium. RNAcentral's name for it is "partial 16S ribosomal RNA". It matches the Rfam family "Bacterial small subunit ribosomal RNA", at positions 28 to 507 of the family's 1533-position model. The record is from RNAcentral.
GAUGAACGCUGGCGGCGUGCCUAAUACAUGCCAGUCGAGCGAACGGACGAUAAGCUUUCUUCUCUGAUGUUAGCGGCGGACGGGUGAGUAACACGUGGAUAACCUACCUAUAAGACUGGGAUAACUUCGGGAAACCGGAGCUAAUACCGGAUAAUAUUUUGAACCGCAUGGUUCAAAAGUGAAAGACGGUCUUGCUGUCACUUAUAGAUGGAUCCGCGCUGCAUUAGCUAGUUGGUAAGGUAACGGCUUACCAAGGCAACGAUGCAUAGCCGACCUGAGAGGGUGAUCGGCCACACUGGAACUGAGACACGGUCCAGACUCCUACGGGAGGCAGCAGUAGGGAAUAUUCCGCAAUGGGCGAAAGCCUGACGGAGCAACGCCGCGUGAGUGAUGAAGGUCUUCGGAUCGUAAAACUCUGUUAUUAGGGAAGAACAUAUGUGUAAGUAACUGUGCACAUCUUGACGGUACCUAAUCAGAAAGCCACGGCUAACUACGUG